UACGGAGGGUGCAAGCGUUGUCCGGAUUUAUUGGGUUUAAAGGGUGCGUAGGCGGUCUUUUAAGUCAGUGGUGAAAUCCUCCAGCUUAACUGGAGAACUGCCAUUGAUACUGGGAGACUUGAGUACAGACGAGGUAGGCGGAAUUGACAGUGUAGCGGUGAAAUGCAUAGAUAUUGUCAAGAACACCGAUUGCGAAGGCAGCUUACUAGACUGUAACUGACGCUGAGUCACGAAAGUGUGGGGAUCAAACAGG
This 253-nucleotide ribosomal RNA is filed under the name uncultured bacterium. RNAcentral describes it as "partial 16S ribosomal RNA". It matches the Rfam family "Bacterial small subunit ribosomal RNA", at positions 524 to 776 of the family's 1533-position model. The record is from RNAcentral.